AUUGAACGCUGGCGGCAUGCUUUACACAUGCAAGUCGAACGAGUGGCGCACGGGUGAGUCAUACGUCGGAACGUGUCCUAUCGUGGGGGAUAACUGAUCGAAAGAUCAGCUAAUACCCCAUACGCUUGGGGCGGCCCAUGCCCGAUUGGCUCGUUGGUGAGGUAAAGGCUCACCAAGGCGACGAUCGUUAGCUGGGCUGAGAGGACGACCAGCCACACGGGGACGGAGACACGGCCCAGACUCCUACGGGAGGCAGCAGUGGGGAAUUUUGGACAAUGGGGGCAACCCUGAUCCAGCCAUGCCGCGUGCAGGAUGAAGGGCUUCGGAUUGUAAACUGCUUUUGUCAGGGAAGCGGUACCUGAAGAAUAAGCACCGGCUAACUACGUGCCAGCAGCCGCGGUAAUUC
This 406-nucleotide ribosomal RNA is filed under the name uncultured bacterium. RNAcentral describes it as "partial 16S ribosomal RNA". It matches the Rfam family "Bacterial small subunit ribosomal RNA", at positions 30 to 526 of the family's 1533-position model. The record is from RNAcentral.